GAUGAUAAAUUAAAAGCCCUGGAGCGCUUAUAUCAGGGCCUUUAUAAUAAAAAUAAAGAUGAUGCAUUGACUCAAAAUUUAAAUGUAAAUCUCAAACCUCAUUGAGAGAGGAAAUUUCAUACAAGUUCGAAAUAAGAAGAGAAGAAACAACAACAAGCAGAAUAAACAUGUUGUUGGAGUGGCUCCUAGUGCCGAAGAUCUUCAUGUUUUGCCCAUCAAGAAAUUCUUGCAUGUCGGAAAGUUUGCAACAGAUACUAAGCCGAACGCUGUUUUAAAAUAUGUGUCCACCAUGCUUAAGGUGGAUGCUAAUUCUUUCACUUGUGUAAAACUUGUAAAAAAAAUUGUUGACGUUACAACUUUAAAGUUUGCAAAAUUUCAAGCUUGGUAUCCCCGAUCAGCUUUACGAUUCAGUCUUCAAAAACGAUUACUGGCCGGACUCAGUUAAGGUCAAAAGACUUAAUCAUAGAGAACGGGCCCUUGUGGUAGUGGAUGGAAUCAUAUCCCAUUUGCCGGAGCCUUCAACAUUAAGUCAUACAUCAAAAUACCCCUACUGUUCGAAGCCAAUGGCGUCGAUACUUUUUCGGGACAUCUUCUGCAAGCCUUUCCUCAUUUGUCGGAGGCGUUUUCGCAACAACAUCGGCAGCUGCCUGCCUUUCUGACUGCGCUCUCAUCAUCUUUUAUCUCUCUCCUGACGCUCCAUUAACAACAUCGGUCGGAGCUUUUAUUGUCCGCUUUGUGCGACAUUCGCCUGGCUCUAAUAUCGGCGCGCUUCUCGGAGUUGCGCUUACAUCAUUUUCCGUCGCUCUCCUGACGCUCCAUUAACAACAUCAGCCGGAGCUUUUAGUGUCCGCUUUGUGCGACAUUCGCCUGGCUCUAAUAUCGGCGCGCUUCUCGGAGUUGCGCUUACAUCAUUUUCCGUCUCUCUCCUGACGCUCCAUCAACAACAUCAGCCGUAGCUUUUGUUGUCCGCUUUGUGCGACAUUCGCCUGGCUCUAAUAUCGACGCGCUCCUCGGAGUUGCGCUUACAUCAUUUUCCGUCGCUCUCCUGACGCUCCAUCAACAAAUUCAGCCGGAGCUUUUGUUGUCCGCUUUGCGCGACAUUCGCCGUCCUCCUGGCCCUAAUAUUGGCGCGCUCCUCGGAGUUGUGCUUACAUCAUUUUCCGUCGCUCUCCCGAAGUACCUAGAACAUCUGCUGUAUUCUUACUCAUCAUCGCCUAAUAUAUAUGCGCUCUCCCUCUCUACCGUUUCGACGUUCGACUUUCUACAACAACUUUUAUCGACACAUUUGGCUGGAUGGCGAGCCUCUCAGAGUGCUCUCCGGAGAUGCUCUCGCCAUCAACAACAACAAUGGACUGCGGCAGCUGUAGAACCUUCUCUCACAUUAUUAUCAGGAGUGGAUACACCUGCGUGCAGUUAUAUUUUGAAUGCUAAUAUUGACUGCGCACCAAGUACUUGGAGCGACGAUCACCAGCAAAUUCGAAUUCGUACUACUACUUUACUGUGGGUUCUUACAAAUUAUUUUAGUAAUUAUGAUAGAAUCCCAGCGAUUCCCCUUACGCUUUCGGGUCAGACUGUGGGCUACUCGACCCAAGUAUUUUAAGUGCUUCUGAAAAUUUGGAGCGAGUAUUAGCAGGUCGUCCAAGUAUACGAAGACGUUGGAUCUAAGCUCCGCUGGUAUCACCCGAUCCAUGAGCCGCACCAAGCGUUGGGCCGCGUUUCAAAGCCCGAAUGGCAUCAUUUGAAACUGGUACAACGGCCUGCUUGGAACCGUGAACGCAGUGUACUCCUUGCUUCUGUCGUCCAGUUCAAUCUGCCAAAACGCAAACUUGAGGUCAACUCCAGAGAUAUAAUGCGUCUGAGAGAGAUUCCUUUCAAUACUGGGCAGAGGGUAGCAUCCUUAAUGGUCAAUGCGUUUAACUUCCGGGCAUCCAGCCAGAACCUGUCUUUCUCUAGCUUCGACACUACUGUUGUGCGAUUGCUCCACGGGCUUUUGGUCUAGGCAGCUCCAAGCGCCCGAUAACGGAUCGAUCCUCGCCAGAAGCCGUCCGGACUACGGAAAAAUGCGGUUGGACGGUAACUCCCAGCGUUUCCACGAGCUCUCGACAGCCUUUGCCCAGUACACUUACGCUGGCCCCUGUGUCCAACAAGCCGGUGCGGUGCUUGCCCAAGGUCUUCACGUCGGCGAAGGAAUCGGCGGAAUCUAUGCGUUUCACGGCCGCCACCACCUCUCAUCGACUGGAUCUCCUUAUCCUGAAGCGCUCCUUUGCUUUCUGGACUCUCCGUGAGACUAGACGCAUGCCGUUCAGCUGAUGUUCCGGAAAGAUCCUGUUCCGUGCCUCCAUAUAACGGCGAAU
Non-coding RNA from Drosophila suzukii, 2354 nucleotides. Lineage: Eukaryota; Metazoa; Arthropoda; Insecta; Diptera; Drosophilidae. The record is from RefSeq and is a predicted model, not a curated record.